CAAUAGCGUAUAUUAAAGUUGUUGCAGUUAAAAAGCUCGUAGUUGGAUUUCUGGUCGGAAGCUCCUGUCCUCUGAUGAGCGUACAAGUGCGUCCUACCAUCCUUCUGUUAACCUUUAAGGCUUUCGCGGCUUUCUAGGGGCUCAGAUAUUUUACCUUGAGAAAAUUAGAGUGUUUCAGGCAGGCUAGCGCCGGAAUGCAUUAGCAUGGAAUAAUGGAAUAGGACUUUUGCCUCUUCUGUUGGUCAUGAGGCUCGAGUAAUGAUUAAUAGGGAUAGUUGGGGGCAUUAGUACUUAACUGUCAGAGGUGAAAUUCUCGGAUUUGUUAAAGACUAACUUAUGCGAAAGCAUUUGCCAAGGAUGUUUUCAUUAA
Molecule: ribosomal RNA, 370 nt
Filed under: uncultured eukaryote
Lineage: Eukaryota
Description: partial 18S ribosomal RNA
Rfam family: Eukaryotic small subunit ribosomal RNA
Source: RNAcentral